GACGAACGCUGGCGGCAUGCCUAAUACAUGCAAGUCGAGCGAACAGAUGAAGUGCUUGCACUUCUGACGUUAGCGGCGAACAGGUGAGUAACACGUAAGGAAUCUACCUAUAAGCGGGGGAUAACAUUCGGAAACGGGUGCUAAUACCGCAUAAUAUCUUCUUCCGCAUGGAAGAAGAUUGAAAGACGGCUCUGCUGUCACUUAUAGAUGACCUUGCGGUGCAUUAGUUAGUUGGUGGGGUAACGGCCUACCAAGACGAUGAUGCAUAGCCGACCUGAGAGGGUGAUCGGCCACAUUGGGACUGAGGCACGGCCCAAACUCCUACGGGAGGCAGCAGUAGGGAAUCUUCCGCAAUGGGCGAAAGCCUGACGGAGCAAUGCCGCGUGAGUGAAGAAGGCCUUCGGGUCGUAAAACUCUGUUAUAAGAGAAGAACAAAUUGUAGAGUAACUGCUACAGUCUUGACGGUAUCUUAUCAGAAAGCCACGGCUAACUACGUGCCAGCAGCCGCGGUAA
RNAcentral lists this ribosomal RNA (513 nucleotides) under uncultured bacterium. RNAcentral describes it as "partial 16S ribosomal RNA". It matches the Rfam family "Bacterial small subunit ribosomal RNA", at positions 28 to 523 of the family's 1533-position model. The record is from RNAcentral.